Ostrea edulis (European flat oyster) is the source of this 2868-nucleotide long non-coding RNA. RefSeq lists it as uncharacterized. NCBI's taxonomy places the organism in Eukaryota, Metazoa, Mollusca, Bivalvia, Ostreida, Ostreidae. The transcript is spliced from 2 exons. The record is from RefSeq and is a predicted model, not a curated record.
AUCAGUAGGUAAAGAACGGCCUAAUAUGUUGUAUAGAAAACACUAACGUGUAAUUUACGGAUUUGUGUUGUUGAUUUUUUUUAUUUGGGGGAGGGGGGGGGGGUGGUGGUGGUGGUGGUGAGUAAUUGGGCGGGUGUUGUUUUACAAUAUCAUUUACGGAUUUGUGUUGCUGGUUUUAUCUAUUUUUUAUAUUUGGGGGUGAUGGUGGAGGUGGUGAGUAGUUGGGUGGGUGUUGUUUUACAGUGUAAAUUACGGAUUUGAGCUGUUGAUUUUCUAUUUUUAUUUGAGGUGGUGGUGGUGGGUGUUGUUUUACAGUGUAAUUUACGGAUUUGAGCUGUUGAUUUUCUAUUUUUAUUUGGGGUGGUGGUGGUGGUGAGUGUUGUUUUACAGUGUAAUUUACGGAUUUGAGCUGUUGAUUUUCUAUUUUUAUUUGGACUGGUGGUGGUGGGUGUUGUUUUACAGUGUAAAUUACGGAUUUGAGCUGUUGAUUUUCUAUUUUUAUUUGAGGUGGUGGUGGUGGGUGUUGUUUUACAGUGUAAUUUACGGAUUUGAGCUGUUGAUUUUCUAUUUUUAUUUGGGGUGGUGGUGGUGGGUGUUGUUUCACAGUUUAAUUUACGGAUUUGAGCUGUUGAUUUUCUAUUUUUAUUUGGGGUGGUGGUGGUGGGUGUUGUUUUACAGUGUAAUUUACGGAUUUGAGCUGUUGAUUUUCUAUUUUUAUUUGAGGUGGUGGUGGUGGGUGUUGUUUUACAGUGUAAUUUACGGAUUUGAGCUGUUGAUUUUCUAUUUUUAUUUGAGGUGGUGGUGGUGGGUGUUGUUUCACAGUUUAAUUUACGGAUUUGAGCUGUUGAUUUUCUAUUUUUAUUUGGGGUGGUGGUGGUGGGUGUUGUUUCACAGUUUAAUUUACGGAUUUGAGCUGUUGAUUUUCUAUUUUUAUUUGGGGUGGUGGUGGUGGGUGUUGUUUUACAGUGUAAUUUACGGAUUUGAGCUGUUGAUUUUCUAUUUUUAUUUGAGGUGGUGGUGGUGGGUGUUGUUUUACAGUUUAAUUUACGGAUUUGAGAUGUUGAUUUUCUAUUUUUAUUUGAGGUGGUGGUGGUGGGUGUUGUUUUACAGUGUAAUUUACGGAUUUGAGCUGUUGAUUUUCUAUUUUUAUUUGAGGUGGUGGUGGUGGGUGUUGUUUUACAGUGUAAUUUAUGGACUUGAGCUGUUGAUUUUCUAUUUUUAUUUGGGGUGGUGGUGGUGGGUUUUGUUUUACAGUUUAAUUUACGGAUUUGAGAUGUUGAUUUUCUAUUUUUAUUUGGGGUGGUGGUGGUGGGUGUUGUUUUACAGUGACGUCUAGGUGCAUAAGACAGGGUGUUUGAUUUUGCAAUUUUCCUUUAACAAUGGUUAAACAUUACCCAUUGAUUGCAAACACCUUAAUUAGAAUAUUCACUUCUCUAUUGACUGAUUUGAAAAAAUGGCUUCAUCCGUGUUGUGUACUAUUACUAUUUGCAUCGAUUUGACCUAGAUUAUUCUAGAGAGUUUUGUUUACUCAAUGACACCUGUAACCUAGAUUGUUAUCAUUAGUAGAAAGAUGACGUAAUGGUUGCAUCAUUGUCUUCCAAGAUUGUACUAGAAAAUUCAUUCCUAUUAUAAAUACAUGUAUGCUGAAAUUCUUAUGAUAAAAGAAACUCUGGUUAGACACGUCUUAUGAUUGUUGGAUUCUAUUACACUGGGAACUAUGAUUUUGGAAUUACUAUUUUUAAGUGUGUAGAUUCUGUUCGGAUUUAUUGUGUAACUGCCAUAAAAUCCACUUGGUAAAUUUCGACCACCAGAAACAUGGAGAAACACGAGAAAAACCGGAGGACUCUCCUGUGCACCGACGCCAUUUUACAAGCAUGUCGCCUGCAUAAUCUAUUUUAAAACUGAUCAGUGUCAAGAGGCUCUCGCAUAAAGAGGAUACGUUUUGCGUGUAAAUUCUUUUCCCGUGUAGGUGAUCAAGCAAUAUGCCAAUGGGCAUGCGCUGUGAUUGUGGAGCCCGGUAAAUAGAAAAAAGUGUCUGAACUUAAAAGUUUAAAUUUAUGUAAAGGAUGCAAGUAUGGCUCUUUCUCCAUAGAAUGGAUAGUUUGAGGCUUAUAUCCUACUUAAAACAUUACAUCUUUUGUUUUAAGAAUGGACAGAUUCAGGUAAACCCAUUGACAAUGAUAAUUAUGAAUAAAGCUAUUUUUGAAUAAUCUGACGAUAUAACCAGUCUUGAGUGAAGGUCUCUUUCUUUUGUUCACUUAUUGGACAGUGUCAGGUAUAAGUAAUCUUGUUCUGCAGAUUUUAUAUUCAUUCACUCUGUAGUGCUGAGCCAUAUCAACAUGUCGUCCUCUGAUGGGGAGAGCAUUUUCAUUGCACAAUCAAAAUUUAAGGAUUUUAAUGAAAGUACUGGGGAUAUUAUCUUAAUGGGUGUUAUGUUCUGGAUAUGGUGGGCGAGAAAGUUAUGGAGCCUUUGAUCUGAAAAGCAUUGUGGUUUCCAAUAUUUGGACGAGGAAAUAAUUAACGCCAGCCAAAAGAACCCAAUACGCCCAUCUCGUGAAAUGCAAUGCAAUUAUUCAUGGAAGUGAACAGAAUUAGGAUAUGCUGAUAAAGAAAACAUAAAAAAGUUUCGAAAUGUGACUGGAUUUAGCGAAAUUCAGAUACAGCAUGGAAAUAUGUCUUUCAAAUUUAAGUUUUGAUGCGAUAUAUGCCAAUGGAAUUUAAAAAACUGUGAAUCUUAAAGUUGGAGCAGAGAAUUCUACUAAGAGGAUCCGGAAAUAUCGUUCUAAGUGUUUGAAUGAUUUUUCCGAUAUCUGUGUUGAUUCUUACAUGUUGGGAAUUUAAAAAUUAAAUUUGUAUCUCUUGAAAAAA